This 253-nucleotide ribosomal RNA is filed under the name uncultured bacterium. Its description in RNAcentral is "partial 16S ribosomal RNA". It matches the Rfam family "Bacterial small subunit ribosomal RNA", at positions 524 to 776 of the family's 1533-position model. The record is from RNAcentral.
UACGUAGGGUGCAAGCGUUAAUCGGAAUUACUGGGCGUAAAGCGUGCGCAGGCGGUUCUAUAAGGCAGAUGUGAAAUCCCCGGGCUCAACCUGGGAACUGCAUUUGUGACUGUAGAGCUGGAGUACGGCAGAGGGGGAUGGAAUUCCGCGUGUAGCAGUGAAAUGCGUAGAUAUGCGGAGGAACACCGAUGGCGAAGGCAAUCCCCUGGGCCUGUACUGACGCUCAUGCACGAAAGCGUGGGGAGCAAACAGG